This 253-nucleotide ribosomal RNA is filed under the name uncultured bacterium. RNAcentral describes it as "partial 16S ribosomal RNA". It matches the Rfam family "Bacterial small subunit ribosomal RNA", at positions 524 to 776 of the family's 1533-position model. The record is from RNAcentral.
UACGUAGGGACCAAGCGUUGUUCGGAAUUACUGGGCGUAAAGCGCGUGUAGGCUGCUUCGCAAGUCGGAUGUGAAAGCCCUGGGCUCAACCCAGGAAGUGCAUUCGAAACUGCAGAGCUGGAGUCCUGGAGAGGAAGGCGGAAUUCUCGGUGUAGAGGUGAAAUUCGUAGAUAUCGAGAGGAACACCGGUGGCGAAGGCGGCCUUCUGGACAGUGACUGACGCUGAGACGCGAAAGCGUGGGGAGCAAACAGG